AGAGUUUGAUCCUGGCUCAGGAUGAACGCUGGCGGCGUGCUUAACACAUGCAAGUCGAACGAAGCACUUUAUUUGAUUUCCUUCGGGACUGAUUAUUUUGUGACUGAGUGGCGGACGGGUGAGUAACGCGUGGGUAACCUGCCUUGUACAGGGGAAUAACAGUUGGAAACGGCUGCUAAUACCGCAUAAGCGCACAGCAUCGCAUGAUGUAGUGUGAAAAACUCCGGUGGUAUAAGAUGGACCCGCGUUGGAUUAGCUAGUUGGUGAGGUAACGGCCCACCAAGGCGACGAUCCAUAGCCGACCUGAGAGGGUGACCGGCCACAUUGGGACUGAGACACGGCCUAAACUCCUACGGGAGGCAGCAGUGGGGAAUAUUGCACAAUGGGCGAAAGCCUGAUGCAGCGACGCCGCGUGAGCGAAGAAGUAUUUCGGUAUGUAAAGCUCUAUCAGCAGGGAAGAUAAUGACGGUACCUGACUAAGAAGCACCGGCUAAAUACGUGCCAGCAGCCGCGGUAAUACGUAUGGUGCAAGCGUUAUCCGGAUUUACUGGGUGUAAAGGGAGCGCAGGCGGUGCGGCAAGUCUGAUGUGAAAGCCCGGGGCUCAACCCCGGUACUGCAUUGGAAACUGUCGUACUAGAGUGUCGGAGGGGUAAGCGGAAUUCCUAGUGUAGCGGUGAAAUGCGUAGAUAUUAGGAGGAACACCAGUGGCGAAGGCGGCUUACUGGACGAUAACUGACGCUGAGGCUCGAAAGCGUGGGGAGCAAACAGGAUUAGAUACCCUGGUAGUCCACGCCGUAAACGA
Molecule: ribosomal RNA, 803 nt
Filed under: uncultured bacterium
Lineage: Bacteria
Description: bacterial SSU rRNA
Rfam family: Bacterial small subunit ribosomal RNA
Source: RNAcentral